This 482-nucleotide ribosomal RNA is filed under the name uncultured bacterium. RNAcentral's name for it is "partial 16S ribosomal RNA". It matches the Rfam family "Bacterial small subunit ribosomal RNA", at positions 30 to 507 of the family's 1533-position model. The record is from RNAcentral.
AUUGAACGCUGGCGGCAUGCCUUACACAUGCAAGUCGAACGGUAACAGGUCUUCGGAUGCUGACGAGUGGCGCACGGGUGAGUAAUACAUCGGAACGUGCCCGAUCGUGGGGGAUAACGAAGCGAAAGCUUUGCUAAUACCGCAUAAGAUCUACGGAUGAAAGCAGGGGACCGCAAGGCCUUGCGCGAACGGAGCGGCCGAUGGCAGAUUAGGUAGUUGGUGGGAUAAAAGCUUACCAAGCCGACGAUCUGUAGCUGGUCUGAGAGGACGACCAGCCACACUGGGACUGAGACACGGCCCAGACUCCUACGGGAGGCAGCAGUGGGGAAUUUUGGACAAAGGGCGAAAGCCUGAUCCAGCCAUGCCGCGUGCAGGAUGAAGGCCUUCGGGUUGUAAACUGCUUUUGUACGGAACGAAAAGACUCUGGUUAAUACCUGGGGUCCAUGACGGUACCGUAAGAAUAAGCACCGGCUAACUACGUG